Molecule: ribosomal RNA, 372 nt
Filed under: uncultured organism
Description: bacterial SSU rRNA
Rfam family: Bacterial small subunit ribosomal RNA
Source: RNAcentral
CAGAGGGGGCAAGCGUUGUUCGGAAUUACUGGGCGUUAAGGGCGCGUAGGCGGCCUGCUAAGUCGAACGUGAAAUCCCUGGGCUCAACCCAGGAACUGCGUCCGAUACUGGAAGGCUUGAAUCCGGGAGAGGGAUGUGGAAUUCCAGGUGUAGCGGUGAAAUGCGUAGAUAUCUGGAGGAACACCGGUGGCGAAGGCGACAUCCUGGACCGGUAUUGACGCUGAGACGCGAAAGCCAGGGGAGCAAACGGGAUUAGAUACCCCGGUAGUCCUGGCCCUAAACGAUGAAUGCUUGGUGUGGCGGGUAUCGAUCCCUGCCGUGCCGAAGCUAACGCAUUAAGCAUUCCGCCUGGGGAGUACGGUCGCAAGGCUG